UUGAACUACUACUUAGAUUUUACAUUUAUUUUCAGGGUUCCCAGGCGUGAUUGGCUGUAUAGAUGGCACUCACAUUCCAAUCAUUGCCCCUUCAGUAAAUGAAGGAGACUAUGUGAACAGGAAGUCUUUCCACAGCAUUAAUGUACAGAUCAUAUGUGAUGCUGCCAACAUUAUCACAAAUGUGGAAGCCAAGUGGCCAGGCUCUGUUCAUGACUCACAAAUUUUUCGUGAAUGUACACUGAGCACAAAAUUUGGACAUGGAGAGUUCACUGGCUACUUGCUUGGUGAUAGGGGGUAUCCAUGUUUACCCUAUUUGCUUACCCCUUACCCUGACGCUGACCCGGGCCCACAGCAGCGAUAUAAUCUGGCUCAUUGCAGGACAAGAGCCAGAGUUGAAAUGACUAUCGGAAUGCUUAAGGCCCGGUUCCAGUGCCUUCAAAGACUCAGGGUCACCCCAGA
Long non-coding RNA from Oreochromis aureus, 459 nucleotides. RefSeq lists it as uncharacterized. NCBI's taxonomy places the organism in Eukaryota, Metazoa, Chordata, Actinopteri, Cichliformes, Cichlidae. The transcript is spliced from 3 exons. The record is from RefSeq and is a predicted model, not a curated record.